RNAcentral lists this ribosomal RNA (496 nucleotides) under Bacillaceae bacterium CL7.3. Its description in RNAcentral is "bacterial SSU rRNA". It matches the Rfam family "Bacterial small subunit ribosomal RNA", at positions 17 to 492 of the family's 1533-position model. The record is from RNAcentral. Lineage: Bacteria; Bacillati; Bacillota; Bacilli; Caryophanales; Bacillaceae.
CCCUGGCUCAGGACGAACGCGGGCGGCGUGCCUAAUACAUGCAAGUCGAGCGAAUCUGAUGGGAGCUUGCUUCCUUGAUGAUUAGCGGCGGACGGGUGAGUAACACGUGGGUAACCUGCCUGUAAGACUGGGAUAACUCCGGGAAACCGGGGCUAAUACCGGAUAACUUUUUUCUUCGCAUGAGGGAGAAUUGAAAGAUGGCUUCGGCUAUCACUUACAGAUGGACCCGCGGCGCAUUAGCUAGUUGGUGAGGUAACGGCUCACCAAGGCGACGAUGCGUAGCCGACUUGAGAGGGUGAUCGGCCACACUGGGACUGAGACACGGCCCAGACUCCUACGGGAGGCAGCAGUAGGGAAUCUUCCGCAAUGGACGAAAGUCUGACGGAGCAACGCCGCGUGAGUGAUGAAGGUUUUCGGAUCGUAAAACUCUGUUGUUAGGGAAGAACAAGUAUCGUUCGAAUAGGGCGGUACCUUGACGGUACCUAACCAGAAAGCC